GAUGAACGCUGGCGGCGUGCCUAAUACAUGCAAGUCGAGCGAACAGACGAGGAGCUUGCUCCUCUGACGUUAGCGGCGGACGGGUGAGUAACACGUGGAUAACCUACCUAUAAGACUGGGAUAACUUCGGGAAACCGGAGCUAAUACCGGAUAAUAUAUUGAACCGCAUGGUUCAAUAGUGAAAGACGGUUUUGCUGUCACUUAUAGAUGGAUCCGCGCCGCAUUAGCUAGUUGGUAAGGUAACGGCUUACCAAGGCGACGAUGCGUAGCCGACCUGAGAGGGUGAUCGGCCACACUGGAGCUGAGACACGGUCCAGAGGCCUACGGGAGGCAGCAGUAGGGAAUCUUCCGCAAUGGGCGAAAGCCUGACGGAGCAACGCCGCGUGAGUGAUGAAGGUCUUCGGAUCGUAAAACUCUGUUAUUAGGGAAGAACAAAUGUGUAAGUAACUAUGCACGUCUUGACGGUACCUAAUCAGAAAGCCACGGCUAACUACGUG
RNAcentral lists this ribosomal RNA (497 nucleotides) under uncultured bacterium. Its description in RNAcentral is "partial 16S ribosomal RNA". It matches the Rfam family "Bacterial small subunit ribosomal RNA", at positions 28 to 507 of the family's 1533-position model. The record is from RNAcentral.